AAGGAGCACCACGAGAAACACUCCAAUUGGUGGGGUGUGAGCCGUGAGGGGUUCUCGUCUGUAGUGGACGAGGGCCGGGUGCACAACAACAGGCAAUCGCCAGACACACUAUUGGGCCCUGAGACAACACUCGGCCGACUUCGGUUGAAGUGGUGUCCCUCCAUCUUGGUGGUGGGGUGUGGUGUUUGAGUAUUGGAUAGUGGUUGCGAGCAUCUAAAUGAACGCGUCGCCGGCAACGGUUACGUGUUCGUUUUGUGUAAUUUUUUCUUUUGGUUUUUGUG
This 281-nucleotide ribosomal RNA is filed under the name Mycobacterium simiae. RNAcentral's name for it is "partial ribosomal RNA". Lineage: Bacteria; Bacillati; Actinomycetota; Actinomycetes; Mycobacteriales; Mycobacteriaceae. The record is from RNAcentral.